This 1358-nucleotide ribosomal RNA is filed under the name uncultured bacterium. Its description in RNAcentral is "bacterial SSU rRNA". It matches the Rfam family "Bacterial small subunit ribosomal RNA", at positions 28 to 1381 of the family's 1533-position model. The record is from RNAcentral.
GAUGAACGCUAGCUACAGGCUUAACACAUGCAAGUCGAGGGGCAGCAUGGUCUUAGCUUGCUAAGGCCGAUGGCGACCGGCGCACGGGUGAGUAACACGUAUCCAACCUGCCGUCUACUCUUGGACAGCCUUCUGAAAGGAAGAUUAAUACAAGAUGGCAUCAUGAGUCCACAUGUUCACAUGAUUAAAGGUAUUCCGGUAGACGAUGGGGAUGCGUUCCAUUAGAUAGUAGGCGGGGUAACGGCCCACCUAGUCUUCGAUGGAUAGGGGUUCUGAGAGGAAGGUCCCCCACAUUGGAACUGAGACACGGUCCAAACUCCUACGGGAGGCAGCAGUGAGGAAUAUUGGUCAAUGGGCGAGAGCCUGAACCAGCCAAGUAGCGUGAAGGAUGACUGCCCUAUGGGUUGUAAACUUCUUUUAUAAAGGAAUAAAGUCGGGUAUGGAUACCCGUUUGCAUGUACUUUAUGAAUAAGGAUCGGCUAACUCCGUGCCAGCAGCCGCGGUAAUACGGAGGAUCCGAGCGUUAUCCGGAUUUAUUGGGUUUAAAGGGAGCGUAGAUGGAUGUUUAAGUCAGUUGUGAAAGUUUGCGGCUCAACCGUAAAAUUGCAGUUGAUACUGGAUAUCUUGAGUGCAGUUGAGGCAGGCGGAAUUCGUGGUGUAGCGGUGAAAUGCUUAGAUAUCACGAAGAACUCCGAUUGCGAAGGCAGCCUGCUAAGCUGCAACUGACAUUGAGGCUCGAAAGUGUGGGUAUCAAACAGGAUUAGAUACCCUGGUAGUCCACACGGUAAACGAUGAAUACUCGCUGUUUGCGAUAUACAGCAAGCGGCCAAGCGAAAGCGUUAAGUAUUCCACCUGGGGAGUACGCCGGCAACGGUGAAGCUCAAAGGAAUUGACGGGGGCCCGCACAAGCGGAGGAACAUGUGGUUUAAUUCGAUGAUACGCGAGGAACCUUACCCGGGCUUAAAUUGCAGAUGAAUUACGGUGAAAGCCGUAAGCCGCAGGGCAUCUGUGAAGGUGCUGCAUGGUUGUCGUCAGCUCGUGCCGUGAGGUGUCGGCUUAAGUGCCAUAACGAGCGCAACCCUUGUUGUCAGUUACUAACAGGUUCCGCUGAGGACUCUGACAAGACUGCCAUCGUAAGAUGUGAGGAAGGUGGGGAUGACGUCAAAUCAGCACGGCCCUUACGUCCGGGGCUACACACGUGUUACAAUGGGGGGUACAGAGGGCCGCUACCACGCGAGUGGAUGCCAAUCCCAAAAACCUCUCUCAGUUCGGACUGGAGUCUGCAACCCGACUCCACGAAGCUGGAUUCGCUAGUAAUCGCGCAUCAGCCACGGCGCGGUGAAUACGUUCCCGGGCCU